This 1854-nucleotide long non-coding RNA is filed under the name Nicotiana tabacum (common tobacco). Its description in RNAcentral is "long non-coding RNA (NTAB_LNC017229)". Lineage: Eukaryota; Viridiplantae; Streptophyta; Magnoliopsida; Solanales; Solanaceae. The record is from RNAcentral.
UCUCACCUUCCCAAACUCAAAGAUGACGAACCCUAACGCCGCCCUUAAAGUCAGCCAUUUUUACCGGCGGCACCACCUCUGACCGGCCCCAAAUCAACAUUCCAAAAGCCUCACACCCUCCUCUCUUCCAAUCUCUAAUUAUUCUCCUUCGAAUCACCCUAGGUUCUUUCGAAUCUUGAAUCUAAGUUCAAGCAUUCAAAGCCAAAACCAAUUUUGUGCAUGCAAAGCUAUCUCUCCGAAUUUACCGAGUGGUCAAGGCUUGGUUUAUCACAGAAUAAUGUUAUUCGCUUGUUCUUGACAAAGAACAUGCGAUUGACAAUAUUUUUGGGUUAAAUCAGAACAUUUCCAGUGAUUUCAAAUCUAAUUGGUGAGUUUUUCUUAGUCGUUUUGUUCGUUCUUGUUGUUUCACCUCUUAUUCUUCUUCUUCUUUUUCUUUUCCGUGUAUUUGAGCCUUCUUCUGACUGAAAUUAGUUUCGAACCUAGUUUUUUCCCUUUAGGUUCAUCUGUUUAUUUGUAUUUAUUUCCCUUCAUUUUUAGUUUUUUUCUUCUCAAUUUCAAAUAGUUGUGCCCUGAUUUUGUUUGUCCAUUUUUGUUUAGUUUUAGGUUUUAAAUUUUUGAUUUUUUCCCCUCCUUUCUCUCACUAAUUUUAUACAUUAUAGCAUUUUCUAUUUUCAUUUGUUUAGUUUUUAUUUGUUCCUUUUUCUUUGUUUGACUGAUGAUCUUUAGUACUCAAUUUCAAUUCUAAGUUUGAUUAGUCAAAUCUAGUUCAUUCUUAAAAUCAGAAGUGUUUGAGUUUGCCCUCCAGUUUUGGAUUUAUUCUUUUUCUAUGGUUUCGUUUAAUCAUUUCUGAGUAUUCAAGACUCUCAUAGUAACUAUGGUCACUACUGACCUAGUUGAGAGGCUGGUUUAUUUGACCUUAGUCUAACUUAACCCAAGUUAAUAAUUGAAGAGUAAAUAAUAGGGGUUUUAAGGGUAAUCUAAGAAAUCUAAGUAAGGAAUCUCUCAGUAACUGAAUUAGGAAGCUUCCUAGAAGUUGUUAUUGGGACCUAAAUGAAAACUGAUUUUUUGAGCUAAGGUUACUUAAACAAAAACAAAAAUUUCAAAAGGAUUAAGGUGCAAAACUAAAUGCAUUUCUGCAGCCCUAAAACCUUGCCUAUAAAGGCACCUUUUCUUUAAGCUCAAGUCCGAAAAGGGGGAGAAAAAAAACUUCUAAAAAUUGAAAUGGCUGAGUUACUUUCUUUCAAUGAAAAAUACUAAACAUGGCUAGAACUUCUGCUUGAUUUCGAGUUUUAAUUUCCUAAGGAUAAGUCAGAAUUCCAAAAAGCUCAGUAAAGAUAGUGCAUUUUGGGUUUUUGAUUGCUGGAAUGGGUUCAAGAAUCUGAAGCUUGAUUUACUGGUCUUAGCACUGUUUCAUUGUUGGUUCUGUGCUGGUUUCUGCUGCUGUCAUUGCUGAUUUCUUCAUUUUUGUUUCUCUUUUAUUCCCAGGCAUGCCUUUGAACCAUUGAAUGGCAAGUGAGGUUGUAGAUAUGGCUUUAUGUAUGGAAAACAUGAAAUUUGGUAAAAAAUACAGCUGAUUUUGUUUGUAUUUGAAGAUUAAUCUACAUAGGCUUAUAUGAGCUAUUUAAAUCUUGUUUACUGUAGUUUUAGAUUUCUGUUAUGGUUUUGGAUAAGUGCUCUUUUCCAUUUGCUUAGUAAAAAAUGAAUUUGAAGUUUCUGAUCACAUGUAUAAGUGGUAGAGAACUAGUGCUAUAGAAAUUUCAAUAGAUUUGAGCAUGUUUAAGGUCUGUUUUGGCCUAUUGAAACCAGUGUUGUAGUGUGAAUCUACUUGAACUUGUUUUAGAUUGAUGCCCCCAG